Molecule: ribosomal RNA, 301 nt
Filed under: uncultured bacterium
Lineage: Bacteria
Description: partial 16S ribosomal RNA
Rfam family: Bacterial small subunit ribosomal RNA
Source: RNAcentral
CAGUAGCCACGGUAACACGUAGGGUGCAAGCGUUAAUCGGAAUUACUGGGCGUAAAGCGUGCGCAGGCGGUUCUAUAAGACAGAUGUGAAAUCCCCGGGCUCAACCUGGGAACUGCAUUUGUGACUGUAGAGCUGGAGUGCGGCAGAGGGGGAUGGAAUUCCGCGUGUAGCAGUGAAAUGCGUAGAUAUGCGGAGGAACACCGAUGGCGAAGGCAAUCCCCUGGGCCUGCACUGACGCUCAUGCACGAAAGCGUAGGGAGCAAACAGGAUUAGAUACCCCCGUAGUCCCUGUCUCUUAUAC